CCUANGGGUGGCAGCAGUGGGGAAUUGUUCGCAAUGGGCGCAAGCCUGACGACGCAACGCCGCGUGGAGGACGAAGAUCUUCGGAUCGUAAACUCCUGUCGAGCGGGACGAACGGCCCGGGGCCUAACAGGUUCCGGGAGUGACGGUACCGCUAAAGGAAGCCCCGGCUAACUCCGUGCCAGCAGCCGCGGUAAUACGGGGGGGCAAGCGUUGUUCGGAAUUACUGGGCGUAAAGGGCGCGUAGGCGGCCUUCUAAGUCAGACGUGAAAUCCCUCGGCUCAACCGGGGAACUGCGUCUGAUACUGGAGGGCUUGAAUCCGGGAGAGGGAUGCGGAAUUCCAGGUGUAGCGGUGAAAUGCGUAGAUAUCUGGAGGAACACCGGUGGUGAAGGCGGCAUCCUGGACCGGUAUUGACGCUGAGGCGCGAAAGCCAGGGGAGCAAACGGGAUUAGAUACCCCGNUANUC
RNAcentral lists this ribosomal RNA (465 nucleotides) under uncultured bacterium. RNAcentral's name for it is "bacterial SSU rRNA". It matches the Rfam family "Bacterial small subunit ribosomal RNA", at positions 338 to 795 of the family's 1533-position model. The record is from RNAcentral.